CCCGCUUCGCCUUCUGCACACAGCCUGCGCCGCCGCCGCCGCCGCCGUCCGCUCUACCCCAGGUAAGGAAGGGAGGAGCGGCGAUGUCGCACCGCAAGUUCGAGCACCCGAGGCACGGUUCCCUCGGCUUCCUCCCCAGGAAGCGCUGCUCUCGCCACCGCGGAAAGGUGAAGGCCUUCCCCAAGGAUGACCAACAGAAGCCUUGCCACCUCACUGCCUUCCUGGGCUACAAGGCUGGAAUGACCCACAUUGUUCGUGAGGUCGAGAAGCCUGGAUCUAAGCUCCACAAGAAGGAAACCUGUGAGGCUGUUACCAUCAUUGAGACCCCUCCUCUGGUCAUUGUUGGUCUUGUGGCCUAUGUGAAGACCCCUUGUGGCCUUCGCACUCUCAACUCUGUCUGGGCUCAGCACCUUAGCGAAGAUGUGAGGAGAAGGUUCUACAAGAACUGGUGCAAGAGCAAGAAGAAGGCGUUCACAAAGUAUGCCCUCAAGUAUGACUGUGAUGCGGGCAAGAAGGAAAUCCAGUUGCAGCUUGAGAAAAUGAAGAAGUAUGCCACUAUUGUCCGUGUUAUUGCCCAUACUCAGAUUAGGAAGAUGAAAGGCUUGAAACAGAAGAAGGCUCACCUCAUGGAGAUCCAGAUUAAUGGUGGCACCAUCGCAGACAAGGUUGACUAUGGCUACAAGUUCUUUGAGAAGGAAGUCCCAGUUGAAGCGGUCUUCCAGAAAGAUGAAAUGGUUGACAUCAUUGGUGUCACCAAGGGUAAGGGGUACGAAGGUGUCGUCACUCGCUGGGGUGUGACCCGCCUUCCCCGCAAGACCCACAGGGGUCUCCGAAAGGUUGCCUGUAUCGGUGCCUGGCAUCCUGCUAGGGUUUCCUACACUGUUGCUCGUGCUGGUCAGAAUGGUUACCACCACCGCACAGAGAUGAACAAAAAGAUUUACAAGAUGGGCAAGUCUGGACAGGAGUCUCACGAGGCCUGCACUGAGUUUGACAGGACUGAGAAGGACAUCACCCCGAUGGGUGGCUUCCCUCACUAUGGUGUGGUGAAGGGUGACUACCUCAUGAUCAAGGGCUGCUGUGUGGGCCCCAAGAAGAGAGUGGUGACCCUCCGCCAGUCCCUGUUGAAGCAGACAUCGCGGUUGGCCCUUGAGGAGAUCAAGCUCAAGUUCAUUGACACCUCAUCCAAGUUCGGGCAUGGCCGGUUCCAGACCACUGACGAGAAGCAGAAGUUCUACGGCAGGCUCAAGGCUUAGGCUGCGACAGAUCUUAUCCCAUAGUGUUACCAGCUUUUUUUCUUGCUUUGUGGCAGAUUGUUUGGGUAUCGGUUUAUGCAUUGCAAUUGCAACUCUGAGCUGCUGCGAAUGUUCGAACUGAUGAGGUUUAUGCAUUUUGAACUUUAUAGUAAUGCUAUUUGCAUGCCUUCAAAUUUGGAAGCUAAUGUUUCAGCUGCUGUAGCCUCUAAGUGGACAAUCGUGUUGCGUGUUUGUAGUCACGAUCUGGUAUCAAUCCUAUUCAUGAUCAGGGUCAUGGCGCAUAGAAUGAAGGAAAAUUUGGUUCAGAAAAAA
This 1565-nucleotide ribosomal RNA is filed under the name Triticum aestivum (bread wheat). RNAcentral describes it as "partial small subunit ribosomal RNA". The record is from RNAcentral. Lineage: Eukaryota; Viridiplantae; Streptophyta; Magnoliopsida; Poales; Poaceae.